CGGGGUCCCUGGGCUUUCCCCUAGGGUCCCAUCAGCUGCUUAUGUUCUACCUUCUGACGGAUCACAGGAGGAGCCUGCAGCGGAGGAGCCUCCUCCUCCUCAGCAUCAGACCUAAAGGGAGUGUCCUGCCUGAAGGACCGGCUCAAGGUCGCACUAACAGCUCUUGCUAACUCCUGUUCCAGGCUGUUUAUCUGGGCCUCCAAGUACCCUGCUUGCGCCUGGAGGUCUCUCACCCCCAGGUCCUGCUCAAAGCUGUGCACUUGGGCCCCCAGGCAUGCGGCUUGCUCCGGAAGGUCCCUUACCUGUGGCACUGAGCAUGUACUUCCUGCAGUGCAGUUAGAAAUGCCCAUCCGACUCUGCUUGCAAAGUGCAGAGAGGGAGACACCCUUACAAAUGGAGAUUUGCUGGAUAGAAAUGUGGCCAAAGAGUUCAAUAAAAGGUUCCUUUAUUUAUAGGCACAGCUGCUUAAAGACUGUUACCGGAAAGGAAUCCUGAUCCAGACGCCAAGAGAGGGUUCUUGGACUCAUGCAAGAAAGACUUCAGGACAGAGAUCAUGGAAGUUGGGCCCGACUGGAUGAGAUUUGGGGGUCUUUGGAAGUGGAGAAUGUGUUUGCCCUGGGGAAGAGAGGUGAUGUCUAGGAGACCUCUUCACUCAGGGCAAGCUCUAUGACCUGCUUUGACUCCAGAAUGUGGUAGAAGUGGCAUCACAUAAAUUGCAGAGCCUAGGCUUCAAGAGACCUUGCAACUUGCCUCUCACUGACUUGAAGUGCUCCCAUCAGAGCAUCUUGUAAGGAGCAGGUGGAGCAUGUGGACAAGCCAUCCCCACCAGCCCCUGAGACAUGUGAGAGAGGCCAGAACAGGCCAUCCGGACCCCACUGUGCUGGUGGAUGAGACAGCAGAAGGAAUAUCAACCUACCAACAGAAUCCUGAGAAAUGCUCACUCUUACUUCAAGCUGCUGCAUUUUGAUGUUAUGAAACCAUAAAUAACUUAUGAAGUCAUCUUUGCUGACUUAAAGUUUUCCAUAACUUUAUUAUAACAUAUCAAAAUUAUGAAAAAUGUGAAAAGUAGAAAACUGAUGAAUUUUGCUUCUUCAUAUGGUCUUUAAGAAUCUCAAAGGCACUGAAGUUUUUUAUCUUUUCUGUCUUAGAAUAAAAAACCUUGAAUGAAAAUCUGCUUCUUGGAAAAGCAGCAAGGUUUAUGCAGAGGCAAUCUGGUAUUUGUGUGCACUGGCAGCUGAUCAUACCCAGCAUGCACGCACUCUCAGGGCAGAGUCUGAUGCCCCACAUAAUGGGGCAUGGUAAGGACUCCCAUGUCCUUGAGAUAAAAUGAUAAGGAAAAUACACACUGCUAUUAGAAUAACAGGCCCAGCUUCUGCACAUUUUAAUUCCCAAAGUUUUCAUGAAAGACAAUGAUUUUUUGGUACCAUGUUUAACUCUACAAGAAUCAGUAGUGAAAACUAAAAAUGAUACUUUGUGAAAGUUCAUUAAUUUUGUUUUCAGCCAGUGGUGGCCUUGGUCAGAUAGAAUCAAAUCUAUGAUACUUUUUAUCAGAAAUGCUUAUACUGUGUACAAACCCAAAGUGAUGGCUUUCAAAGAUUGAAUUUGAUUAUUUUCUGUAUGGUGCAGAUGAAAAAUUACUACACAGGAGAAGGUGGGUUGGAGGUGCUCACGAGUAACCAGGAAACAGUCUGAAGUUUUUCUGAUACUUCUCCUUGGUCCAACCAAAUGUGAGAUAUAAACACAAACUUGGGAUUCCGUUCUUAUGUUUUGGUUGUUUCAGUCUUUACAGAUGUAUCGAAAGGCUGUCCAAAAAUGUCUGACUUCUGUAGUGUGCCUUCGUAGCACUAGAGGGUUCUGCAGCUGUGAAACUGAAGGCAUUGGCAAGAAGCCCUCCAUCUUCAAACCACUUUCUGCUAAGGUGUGGCUCUAUAAAACCACUAUGAGCUGGGCUUCACUGAGACUGAGUUGUUUCAGUAGGAUCUUCCGGAAAAACAUGUUCCCUCCUUUACCUGGGUUGUCAUUCUGAGAACAAUCACACCUCCAAUUUUGGCUUACUAAGCAAUAGCGUUUUAAUGAUUUUAAGCCAGGAUUUGCUCCUCCUUUCCUCAGUAUGAGAGCUUAACCACUGGAGGAACCAAGAAUUCAUGCUGGUUGGGUUCUGAUUCCACUUUAACUUACUGUAUAGCCUCAUCCCUUGUUUUUCUGGAGAUUCUCUUUUUCUGCUUCACUGAUUUAUAUUUACAUUAAAAUCAAAUGAGGCCAUGUUUCUGAAAUCACAUUGUCCCUACAUGGUCAUUACAAUGAGUCUGUAAUGUGACUGAAAGACAGCCAUGGAUACAGGUAGAGGAUAUCAGGCAAUUGAAUGCUCAUCAAGCAUUCAAUUCAGGGCAAAUGGCAUAAGGUAUGCAGUUGGCCUCUUCUGAUAUCUGUGUCUUAAUCCUUUCUUUAGCCUCUGUUUUCUGGACCAAGGCUAAGAUAUUUUCUGGGCACAGUGGCUCAUGCCUAUAAUCCCAGCACUCUGGGAGGCCAAGGUGGGAGGAUUUCUUCAGCCCAGGAGUUCGAGACCAGCCUGGGGAACAUAGGAGACCUCAUUCCUACAAAUAAUAAAAAAAAUUAGCCAGCUCUGGUGGCGUGUGCUUAUUGGUCUCAGCUACUUGGGAGGCUGAGGUGGGAGGACUGCUUGAGCCCAGAAGAUCGCAGCUGCAUUGAGCCAUGAUUGUGCCACUGAACCCUAGCCUGAGCAACAGAGCAAGGCCUUAUCUCAAAAAAAAAAAAAAAUUCUGAGCCUUCUAAUUUUUUUUUUCUUUAAUUAACUUUCUGUAAGCCCAGCAAGUAAAUAAAACACUUAUUUUAUGAAGCAUCUAGUUGCUUUUAGGGGAAGGGACAUCCUCCGCAUAGUAUCUAGGCCAGCUCACUUUCUUCUCCUUACUGUUGAUUUACUCUCUGCCAUUGAAUCUUCUGUGCCAAUGUUGGAUUAAUGUUUCCGGGCCCUACUUUCAUCAUGCUCCUCUGUAUUAUCACCUGUUUUGGUUUACAGCAAUGAUUUUUAAGGUAAGGCAUGGUGUGUCCAUCAUAGUCACAUGGGAACUUUUUCAAGCCAUAUUAAAAAUGUCCCCCAUUCAUCAUUCUGCCCCUGGAACAGUGUGUGCAGUUGGGACCUUCAAGUAAAUCUACUUUGUUGAAACCCACUGAUCAGCAUGGUGUAUUUCAUAACUCUUUGACUUACAUUCAAGAAAUUCCUUAACCUGAACUCCAUUUUACUCUUUUUUUCAUUCAUUCAAAUUAAGAAUAUUGCCUGAACAUGAAUUAUCUGCUAGACGUUUUUCUAGGUGCAGGAGGAGUAAGGAUGAACAUAACUAGCCAUAACUAUAGCUAUCAAUUGUGGAGUGUCUGUUAUGUGCCAGGCACUUUUAAGUGACCUACUCGAUUUACUUGCAUGACAAACUGUGAGGAAAAGCCCAAUAUUAUCCCCUAUUAACAGAUGAGGAAACUGAAGCACAAACAGCAUGAAUAGUUUGUUCCAGAUUGCAUCAUAAGAGGCACAGCCAGCUUUCCUACCAAAGCAGCCCUGGCCCAGAGUCCGUACUCCCUCCUCCCCUGCCUCUGCCUGGUGGAUAAGGUCACCCUGGCCUUGUGGAACUUAUGCUCUAGUGGGGACAAAUAGUUAUAGAGAAUGACCGAUGUUACUAAGAAAAUAAAAGCUGGUAAGAAAACAGAAGCACUGAGGAGGUGACUGAAGUGAGCAUUUAUAAUUUUAUGUUAUAUCCAUUGUAAAAUAUAAGUUUAGCUUUCUCAUACCAGAAGCAGGGCUCAGUCCACCCUUGACUCAGUUUCCAAUACUGUUCCCCAUCAGAAUGGCUCUUGCUGGUGGCCAGAAGUAAAACUUAGAAAUAUCUCUCUCAGAGACACCUAAGCAGGCUGGGCUCCCCGGUUUCCUGUUGCUUCCUUUAAAGAAGCUCUUCAGACAUCUGCACAAGAACUCAAAGUGACCACCUCUCAGCCCAGCAUGACCUACUGGAACUAAUGCCUGCUUGCUUUCAACCUACCAAUUAAAGCUCCCCAGGAAACCUGUUUAGAUAACACCCUGGACCCAAGAAAGGUGCUGGGCCAUGGGUUUCUUCUCUCUCUCCCUAUCUGUGCUCCCUGACCCCCUGUGUGUGUGUGGUCUCUAGGCUUGCCUUCUAUCCCUGAGGGUCUGUAAAUACUAAAAACACUUAAACUUUCAUAUUGUAGUUGUGUCUUUGAAGCCAGGUCCCCAUCCCGUACCUUGAGGGCAAGGCCUCCUGGAAGGGACCCAUGUAGGUGGAUCCCCUGCUGUCCAGGCCUCUUAGCUGCUGGGGUAGUGACCAGUUAAGUGGAUAGAGUUUCAUUCAAAACAAUAAUCAUUCAACUGUAUCUCACAUCAAACCUCUGCUCUAGUUUAUGUAUCUACUUUAUGUUCUUAGAAGACUGUGCAAACACAUUGUCUUUUUUGAGUACCUGUCUUGUCCUAGGUACUCUGCUUGGUACGGGGAGAGACGAAUCUUCUGUCUUCAGGGGCUUCCACUCCAGCAGGGAGAACAUGACUAAUAGUGACUGCCUGCUGCUGUAGGUAAUAAGUGGCUCCCACUAGGCCCUCCAUUUGGUGGCCCCCUGUCCCUCUCACUGGUGGAAGCCUACCUGUCCUCUAAGGACCAGCUCACUAAUGUCCUAGAUCCUCACGGACCAGAUUGCUUUUCUCAGAACUGAAGAGCACUUACUAAUGGCACCUCUUGUCAUAUGCCAUCCCAGGAUUUGAAUUUUUUUUUUUUUUCUGUCUUGUGGCCCAAAUAAAUCCUGAACUCCUCGAGGGCUGGGAGUGUAUCUAGCAGUUUCCUUAUACUGGACUAAUCAGAUGCUGACUAGGUAGCAGUGAGAAAAAUCUAGAAAUUCCCUUUUAGCCACAUCGACUUACACGAGGGGAUGUGUGUAAGGUACUAUAGCUCUUUAAACAAGAGGUGGUCUCGUUUGAAGGGUGGAUUGAUGUGGGUGUUCAAAUGAUGUCACAAGUGGCUGGUUUCUCUGUCUCCAUUUCUUUUUUUUUUGGCUCCAUUUCCAAAUUUCCCAGAUAGCACAGCAAGUUGGCCCCAGCAGCUCUAGACACUCCAUCUUCUCAGGGCAUAGCCAACACAAUAAAAUAUUUCAAGUUCCUGAAAGAUAGCUGAAAUAAGCCCUAGAAGUUUCUGGAUUGGGAGCAGAGCCAAACCUGCCAGCUCACAUAGAUGAGGGCAGGGAAUAGGGUGUCUCACGAUCACAGUGUCCUGCCUUCUGAUUUGCCUGGGACUGUCCUGUUUUGGCACCAAAAAUAUCUGCAUCCUAGGAAACCCUCAGGUCCUGGGCAAAUUCAGACAGUGACUUGCCCUAUCAGAAGCAAAGCAAGGUGCCAUUACCUGAGGUGGGCAAAUUCAGACAGUGACUUGCCCUAUCAGAAGCAAAGCAAGGUUGCCAUUACCUGAGGUGGGCAAAUGGAGGCUGGGUGGCCAGUGAGUGACCAAUAACCCCAGCAUUGGAGAGAGUGGAGCAGCCCUUCAAGAAGUUCCAACCUCUGCCCAGGACUGGUUUUACCAACUUCACUAGGCUUAGAAUCGUAGGAAGUCUAUUUGGGACUUGCGAGUCUCACGUAUUCCUGCCUAAAUGUUUAUGGAUACCUGUUUAGAGCUGAAAUCUUUUCAGCUCCCAUAAUAUGAGGGAAUUAGGUCUCAAAGAAGAUCAUGUAUUUUGAUCAGACCUUAUAGCUGAGCAGUGGAAAGAAAAAAAAUCAGUGUGAGAUCUCCCAGGGUUCCGCAGGAGUGGCUUCCUUAGUCCAACUGGCAGCCUAUCCUGGAAUAUUGCCUGGGAGAGAGGUUAGUUGCUUUUCCUGGUGCUAGGAACUGAAUGGUUUUACAUAUUGAUCAAUGAAAAUACUUAUUUGGCCUACAAUAGGUGCAAAAAUACUGCUAAUUACUAACAGUAUCUCUUCUUUGCUGCGUGCCAGACACUCCACUGGGCAUUAUGCAGUUAAUAUGUACCAUGAAUUUCCCGUGGUUAGCAAUGAUGUCAGGCAUAGAAAAGACAUGAAAUUAUGAUGUCAAAUGAAUAAACUGGAAAAAGGAAUUUCUUGAAUUUUCUCCAGCUGUCCUAAGAAUGUAUCUAUACUUUGAUCCUGGCCUACCUUUUCAACAUCUAAACUUUAUUCCCCCAAGCUUCUAGAUAUUCAAAGUUAAGUAUUAAAUAAAAUCAGUAAAUAUAUACAAGCUUGUUUGGCCAUUCUGAAUAAGGUUAUAUUUCCACCACACAAUCUCCAAAUUCUCUAGCAGAAGGGAUCAGUAUGUUAUAGAUACCCCCUUUCCUUCCCUCCCUGGCAAGCCACCACAUCUGUUAUGGGUACUCAAUGCAGUGGCUGCACCUGGGCCUCACUCAUUAAGCAGUUGUUGAUUGAGUGACUGAAUUGAAUGCCUGAUGAGCUCGCAAGUAAGAUUCAGACUGUGCCUGCAAACUAAUAGGAUCCCUCCGCUUUUUAUUCACUACUGCUGAGGUAGAUCUCAGGCCAGCCUGAAGUUUAGGUCUACUGAGAAAUAAUAAGCCUCAAAAAUCGAGCUUUGCUUCACCCAGUCUCCCAGUAAACACUAAGAAAUGUUCACAUUAUUUACACAUCCUAGACUGCCUGUCUUAUGGACCAAAUGUUUGUGUUCUCCCCGCAAUUUAUACAUUGGAAUCCUAACCCUCAAUGUAAUAGCAUUAGGUGCUGGGGUCUUUGGGAGGUGAUUGGCUAAUGGACCUGGAGCCCUCAUGAUGGGAUGAGUCCCCUUAUCAGAAGAGACCUGAGAAGGCUUGCUUCCUCUCCCUGUGCUCUUCAUGAUGUGAAGACACAAGAAGACAGCCAUCUGUGGGCCAGGAAGAGGUCCUCACUGGAACCCAACCAUGCUGGCACCCCAAUCUUGAAUUUCUAGCUUCAAGAACUUGGGAAAUAAAUGUAAGCCAGCCAGCUUAUGGAUUUGUUACAGCAGCCUAAGCUAAGUCAGAGUCUCUAGAACAGCUGGUCUGGGGCAGCGGUGAAGGGAGGUGGGUGGGCAUAUGACCCUGCCCUGCACAUGAAUGGCAAAGGCAACUGGAGAGCCUCUCCCUUUUGGUGAGAUCCCCAGUCCACAAGGGCAUGUUCAUCCAUAGCUUUACUUCCCGAAGCAAAUUCUGGUUCCUGGGGCCUGUGCCUCCAUAGAUGGCAUGAUCUGCAGCCUCCUGUGGUAAUUUACCCUCUUCCUAAAUUUCUGAGUCUUCACAUUUAAGCAAUCCUAGUUAGAUAUCCUCUACCUGUAUCCAUGGCUGUCUUUCAGUCACAUUACAGACUCAUUGUGAUGACCAUGUAGGGACAAUGUGAUUUCAGAAACAUGGCCUCAUUUGAUUUUAAUGUAAAUAUAAAUCAGUGAAGCAGAAAAAGAGAAUCUCCAGAAAAACAAGGGAUGAGGCUGUACAGCAAGUUAAAGUGGAAUCAGAACCCAACUGUAGUCCAUUAUUUGUUUCAAUCCUGCUCUUUUCUACCAUAUCACCCAGUUUCCAAAUCGUUCAGCAAAUUGCCAUGGUCAAUGGGAUUAACCUUUCCCUUUUAUUCUCAGGAAAUCUCCCUUGUCCAUUUUGCAAGACUGUGUGAUUCUUUCUACUGUUACAAGGAAUAAAAGCCUUCCUAAAAAGGUCUUUGGUGCCUUUAUUAUUUUACGGAUCAUUUCUGAGGGAAUUAUUGAACUUCAUUAUGUAACCACCCCUUGGGUUCACCUUGCCCACUGCCUAGACAGAGCCAAUUUAUCCAGACAGGAGAAUUGCAAUGGAGAAAGAGUAAUUC
RNAcentral lists this long non-coding RNA (7831 nucleotides) under Homo sapiens (human). RNAcentral describes it as "HSALNT0136853". Lineage: Eukaryota; Metazoa; Chordata; Mammalia; Primates; Hominidae. The record is from RNAcentral.